This 403-nucleotide ribosomal RNA is filed under the name uncultured bacterium. Its description in RNAcentral is "bacterial SSU rRNA". It matches the Rfam family "Bacterial small subunit ribosomal RNA", at positions 362 to 758 of the family's 1533-position model. The record is from RNAcentral.
UUUUGGACAAUGGGCGAAAGCCUGAUCCAGCAAUGCCGCGUGUGGGAAGAAGGCCUUCGGGUUGUAAACCACUUUUGUACGGAACGAAAAGGUCUGCCCUAAUACGGUGGGCCCAUGACGGUACCGUAAGAAUAAGCACCGGCUAACUACGUGCCAGCAGCCGCGGUAAUACGUAGGGUGCGAGCGUUAAUCGGAAUUACUGGGCGUAAAGCGUGCGCAGGCGGUUAUAUAAGACAGUUGUGAAAUCCCCGGGCUCAACCUGGGAAUUGCAUCUGUGACUGUAUAGCUAGAGUACGGUAGAGGGGGAUGGAAUUCCGCGUGUAGCAGUGAAAUGCGUAGAUAUGCGGAGGAACACCGAUGGCGAAGGCAAUCCCCGGACCUGUACUGACGCUCAUGCACGAAA